RNAcentral lists this ribosomal RNA (1496 nucleotides) under Klebsiella pneumoniae. Its description in RNAcentral is "partial 23S ribosomal RNA". It matches the Rfam family "Bacterial large subunit ribosomal RNA", at positions 937 to 2416 of the family's 2925-position model. The record is from RNAcentral. Lineage: Bacteria; Pseudomonadati; Pseudomonadota; Gammaproteobacteria; Enterobacterales; Enterobacteriaceae.
UACCAACCCGAUGCAAACUACGAAUACCGAAGAAUGUUAUCACGGGAGACACACGGCGGGUGCUAACGUCCGUCGUGAAGAGGGAAACAACCCAGACCGCCAGCUAAGGUCCCAAAGUCAUGGUUAAGUGGGAAACGAUGUGGGAAGGCACAGACAGCCAGGAUGUUGGCUUAGAAGCAGCCAUCAUUUAAAGAAAGCGUAAUAGCUCACUGGUCGAGUCGGCCUGCGCGGAAGAUGUAACGGGGCUAAACCAUGCACCGAAGCUGCGGCAGCGACACUAUGUGUUGUUGGGUAGGGGAGCGUUCUGUAAGCCUGCGAAGGUGACCUGUGAGGGUUGCUGGAGGUAUCAGAAGUGCGAAUGCUGACAUAAGUAACGAUAAAGCGGGUGAAAAGCCCGCUCGCCGGAAGACCAAGGGUUCCUGUCCAACGUUAAUCGGGGCAGGGUGAGUCGACCCCUAAGGCGAGGCCGAAAGGCGUAGUCGAUGGGAAACAGGUUAAUAUUCCUGUACUUGGUGUUACUGCGAAGGGGGGACGGAGAAGGCUAUGUUAGCCGGGCGACGGUUGUCCCGGUUUAAGCAUGUAGGCUGAUUAUCCAGGCAAAUCCGGAUAAUCAAGGCUGAGGUGUGAUGACGAGGCACUACGGUGCUGAAGUAACAAAUGCCCUGCUUCCAGGAAAAGCCUCUAAGCAUCAGGUAACAUCAAAUCGUACCCCAAACCGACACAGGUGGUCAGGUAGAGAAUACCAAGGCGCUUGAGAGAACUCGGGUGAAGGAACUAGGCAAAAUGGUGCCGUAACUUCGGGAGAAGGCACGCUGGUGUGUAGGUGAAGCCCCUGCGGGUGGAGCUGAGACCAGUCGAAGAUACCAGCUGGCUGCAACUGUUUAUUAAAAACACAGCACUGUGCAAACACGAAAGUGGACGUAUACGGUGUGACGCCUGCCCGGUGCCGGAAGGUUAAUUGAUGGGGUUAUCCGUAAGGAGAAGCUCUUGAUCGAAGCCCCGGUAAACGGCGGCCGUAACUAUAACGGUCCUAAGGUAGCGAAAUUCCUUGUCGGGUAAGUUCCGACCUGCACGAAUGGCGUAAUGAUGGCCAGGCUGUCUCCACCCGAGACUCAGUGAAAUUGAACUCGCUGUGAAGAUGCAGUGUACCCGCGGCAAGACGGAAAGACCCCGUGAACCUUUACUAUAGCUUGACACUGAACAUUGAGCCUUGAUGUGUAGGAUAGGUGGGAGGCUUUGAAGCGUGGACGCCAGUCUGCGUGGAGCCAACCUUGAAAUACCACCCUUUAAUGUUUGAUGUUCUAACGUUGGCCCCUGACCGGGGUUGCGGACAGUGUCUGGUGGGUAGUUUGACUGGGGCGGUCUCCUCCCAAAGCGUAACGGAGGAGCACGAAGGUUAGCUAAUCCUGGUCGGACAUCAGGAGGUUAGUGCAAUGGCAUAAGCUAGCUUGACUGCGAGCGUGACGGCGCGAGCAGGUGCGAAAGCAGGUCAUAGU